Molecule: ribosomal RNA, 414 nt
Filed under: Nanoglomus plukenetiae
Lineage: Eukaryota; Fungi; Glomeromycota; Glomeromycetes; Glomerales; Glomeraceae
Description: partial large subunit ribosomal RNA
Source: RNAcentral
AGAGUUAAAAAGUACGUGAAAUUGUUAAAAGGGAAACGAUUGAAGCCAGUCGUACCGACGGAAAAUCAACUUUUCGGGUGCUUAUCGUGGGUGAUGUUGAGCCUUACGGUCUUCAUCGCUUAUGUUGUGGUGCCUUUGAGGUGCACUUUUUCGUAUGGUAGGUCAACAUCGAUUUUGAUCGUCAUAAAAUGAUCGGAGGAAUGUAGCUUCAUUUUUUUUGAAGUGUUAUAGCCUUUGGUAGAUGUGGUAAUCGGGAUCGAGGAUUGCAAUGAAUACCCUUUUGGGCUAUCCGUCUGAUCUCUGAACGUCGCCCGGGUACUGAAAGCUUGCUUACGGACAUUCAGGUUUGGCGGUCAACAGGUUAGAACGUGAUUAUAUUCAUUAAGGAUGUUGACGUAAUGGCUUUAAACGACC